RNAcentral lists this transfer RNA (73 nucleotides) under Culex quinquefasciatus (southern house mosquito). Its description in RNAcentral is "tRNA-Val". Lineage: Eukaryota; Metazoa; Arthropoda; Insecta; Diptera; Culicidae. The record is from RNAcentral.
ACCGGCUUCUUGGCUUAAUGGUUACGGCUUCUGUCUCACAAGCAGAAGAUACAGGGAUCAAUCCCGGUCGGUA